GGGUUGUGAGGUUAAGCGACUAAGCGUACACGGUGGAUGCCCUGGCAGUCAGAGGCGAUGAAGGACGUGCUAAUCUGCGAAAAGCGCCGGCGAGGUGAUAUGAACCUUUGACCCGGCGAUGUCCGAAUGGGGAAACCCAGUGUGAUUCGUCACACUAUCGUUAACUGAAUACAUAGGUUAACGAGGCGAACCGGGGGAACUGAAACAUCUAAGUACCCCGAGGAAAAGAAAUCAACCGAGAUUCCCCCAGUAGCGGCGAGCGAACGGGGAGCAGCCCAGAGUCUGAAUCAGCUUGUGUGUUAGUGGAAGCGUCUGGAAAGUCGCACGGUACAGGGUGACAGUCCCGUACACGAAAGCACACAGGUUGUGAACUCGAAGAGUAGGGCGGGACACGUGGUAUCCUGUCUGAAUAUGGGGGGACCAUCCUCCAAGGCUAAAUACUCCUGACUGACCGAUAGUGAACCAGUACCGUGAGGGAAAGGCGAAAAGAACCCCGGCGAGGGGAGUGAAAAAGAACCUGAAACCGUGUACGUACAAGCAGUGGGAGCACCUUCGUGGUGUGACUGCGUACCUUUUGUAUAAUGGGUCAGCGACUUAUAUUCUGUAGCAAGGUUAACCGUAUAGGGGAGCCGAAGGGAAACCGAGUCUUAACUGGGCGUUAAGUUGCAGGGUAUAGACCCGAAACCCGGUGAUCUAGCCAUGGGCAGGUUGAAGGUUGGGUAACACUAACUGGAGGACCGAACCGACUAAUGUUGAAAAAUUAGCGGAUGACUUGUGGCUGGGGGUGAAAGGCCAAUCAAACCGGGAGAUAGCUGGUUCUCCCCGAAAGCUAUUUAGGUAGCGCCUCGUGAACUCAUCUUCGGGGGUAGAGCACUGUUUCGGCUAGGGGGCCAUCCCGGCUUACCAACCCGAUGCAAACUACGAAUACCGAAGAAUGUUAUCACGGGAGACACACGGCGGGUGCUAACGUCCGUCGUGAAGAGGGAAACAACCCAGACCGCCAGCUAAGGUCCCAAAGUCAUGGUUAAGUGGGAAACGAUGUGGGAAGGCACAGACAGCCAGGAUGUUGGCUUAGAAGCAGCCAUCAUUUAAAGAAAGCGUAAUAGCUCACUGGUCGAGUCGGCCUGCGCGGAAGAUGUAACGGGGCUAAACCAUGCACCGAAGCUGCGGCAGCGACGCUUAUGCGUUGUUGGGUAGGGGAGCGUUCUGUAAGCCGUUGAAGGUGUGCUGUGAGGCAUGCUGGAGGUAUCAGAAGUGCGAAUGCUGACAUAAGUAACGAUAAAGCGGGUGAAAAGCCCGCUCGCCGGAAGACCAAGGGUUCCUGUCCAACGUUAAUCGGGGCAGGGUGAGUCGACCCCUAAGGCGAGGCCGAAAGGCGUAGUCGAUGGGAAACAGGUUAAUAUUCCUGUACUUGGUGUUACUGCGAAGGGGGGACGGAGAAGGCUAUGUUAGCCGGGCGACGGUUGUCCCGGUUUAAGCAUGUAGGCGGAGGUUCCAGGUAAAUCCGGUACCUUUUAACGCUGAGGUGUGAUGACGAGGCACUACGGUGCUGAAGUAACAAAUGCCCUGCUUCCAGGAAAAGCCUCUAAGCAUCAGGUAACAUCAAAUCGUACCCCAAACCGACACAGGUGGUCAGGUAGAGAAUACCAAGGCGCUUGAGAGAACUCGGGUGAAGGAACUAGGCAAAAUGGUGCCGUAACUUCGGGAGAAGGCACGCUGAUAUGUAGGUGAAGCCCCUGCGGGUGGAGCUGAAAUCAGUCGAAGAUACCAGCUGGCUGCAACUGUUUAUUAAAAACACAGCACUGUGCAAACACGAAAGUGGACGUAUACGGUGUGACGCCUGCCCGGUGCCGGAAGGUUAAUUGAUGGGGUUAGCGGUAACGCGAAGCUCUUGAUCGAAGCCCCGGUAAACGGCGGCCGUAACUAUAACGGUCCUAAGGUAGCGAAAUUCCUUGUCGGGUAAGUUCCGACCUGCACGAAUGGCGUAAUGAUGGCCAGGCUGUCUCCACCCGAGACUCAGUGAAAUUGAACUCGCUGUGAAGAUGCAGUGUACCCGCGGCAAGACGGAAAGACCCCGUGAACCUUUACUAUAGCUUGACACUGAACACUGGUCCUUGAUGUGUAGGAUAGGUGGGAGGCUUUGAAGUGUGGACGCCAGUCUGCAUGGAGCCGUCCUUGAAAUACCACCCUUUAAUGGCUGGUGUUCUAACGUAGACCCGUGAUCCGGGUUGCGGACAGUGUCUGGUGGGUAGUUUGACUGGGGCGGUCUCCUCCCAAAGAGUAACGGAGGAGCACGAAGGUUAGCUAAUCCUGGUCGGACAUCAGGAGGUUAGUGCAAUGGCAUAAGCUAGCUUGACUGCGAGAGUGACGGCUCGAGCAGGUGCGAAAGCAGGUCAUAGUGAUCCGGUGGUUCUGAAUGGAAGGGCCAUCGCUCAACGGAUAAAAGGUACUCCGGGGAUAACAGGCUGAUACCGCCCAAGAGUUCAUAUCGACGGCGGUGUUUGGCACCUCGAUGUCGGCUCAUCACAUCCUGGGGCUGAAGUAGGUCCCAAGGGUAUGGCUGUUCGCCAUUUAAAGUGGUACGCGAGCUGGGUUUAGAACGUCGUGAGACAGUUCGGUCCCUAUCUGCCGUGGGCGCUGGAGAAUUGAGGGGGGCUGCUCCUAGUACGAGAGGACCGGAGUGGACGCAUCACUGGUGUUCGGGUUGUCAUGCCAAUGGCACUGCCCGGUAGCUAAAUGCGGAAAAGAUAAGUGCUGAAAGCAUCUAAGCACGAAACUUGCCCCGAGAUGAGUUCUCCCUGAGACUUUAAGUCUCCUGAAGGAACGUUGAAGACGACGACGUUGAUAGGUCGGGUGUGUAAGCGCAGCGAUGCGUUGAGCUAACCGAUACUAAUGAACCGUGAGGCUUAACCUUACAACGCCGAAGGUGUUU
RNAcentral lists this ribosomal RNA (2932 nucleotides) under Enterobacter cloacae. RNAcentral describes it as "23S ribosomal RNA". It matches the Rfam family "Bacterial large subunit ribosomal RNA". The record is from RNAcentral. Lineage: Bacteria; Pseudomonadati; Pseudomonadota; Gammaproteobacteria; Enterobacterales; Enterobacteriaceae.